Corvus hawaiiensis (hawaiian crow) is the source of this 1425-nucleotide long non-coding RNA. RefSeq lists it as uncharacterized. The record is from RefSeq and is a predicted model, not a curated record. The transcript is spliced from 7 exons. NCBI's taxonomy places the organism in Eukaryota, Metazoa, Chordata, Aves, Passeriformes, Corvidae.
UCCCACUGGAAUGACAAAUUCUAUCCUCUUCCUUGGUUCCUAGUUCAACUUUGCUUGUUUUUUCUCUUUUUCCCACAAAUUCUCUGUGCAGUUAUCAUAGUUUAUUUGCCAGAUAUGAAAUCCAUUCAAGGGUUUUCAAGGGUAUAAGGGACCAUUAGACUGCUGUACUUGACCAAAGGGAUGUGGCUUUUAGAAGCAGUAAUUUGAAGACCAUCUCCCCCUCCAUCCUUCCUAGGAUAAGUAUUUAUGGGUUUAAGACCAACUCCAAGGAACAAGGUCAAAUACAUAAAAGACUGCAAGGAGACGGAGGGAAGCAGCCUUGUGUCAUUAGAUAAUGAUUAGCUGCUUGUCUCUUGGAAAGGGGGUAUGACUGUACCAAGACAUCAGUUACACGGACUCAGCCCUCUGCCUGGUCUCACUCCUUGGAUGUGGCUGUGCAAAUGGACUCUGUCUCCUGAAGAGAACUCAGACAACCAGCUGUGAUGGUCAGCAACCCAAGUUUAGCACGCAACUUUGCAGACCCGAUGGAACUUCUAAGGACUGUGCACACAGAAGCUUUGUGUUACACUCAGUUUCGAAGUAAGAAGAUACAUCUACUCCUUCGCAGUGGGAAAGAAGACCAAGCUUCAAGUCAUGAAAAUACCCUCUAAUGCCGCAUCACUACAAACUUCUGCAGUAAGCAUUCAGCCAGCUGCAAAAUAGAACACACUGAGAGGUUCAGCUACUUUCAGGUCCUGAGUGUACCUUUGCUACUCUGCUUUGAUCAGUCCUGCCUGAGAAAUUCUGGACACAUAAUGAUAGAAUGCAAGCCAUGGAAGGUCCCUCAUCGGUUUGUCAUCAAUGAAAAAAAAGACAUUUCUCUAGUUCUUUCAAAGGACAUCUCUUUUUGAAAGGGUGCAGUUUUAUUUUCCUGCCAUGGACAUCACUUCUGCUGCCUAAUACGUACAUGGGGAUGGAAGUCCUCCACCUCUUUCUGUCUCCCAUGGACCUCUUAAGAAUUAUCUCAUCUAAAUAGCAGCCCUGUUAUUUUUAUGACCUCUAAGGAGAAGUUCUCAGAAAUCUUAAGGGUCUACAAUGAUGUAAAUUUCAAAGGAGUAAUUAUUAUAAGAGAGGGUUGAAAAAGUCAUCACUUUAAUUCCAGAUCUUAUUAAACUCCAGGUUUUUUUUACUUGAAAGAAUGGUGAAGCCUGUAUCUCUGUACAAUUCUUUGAAUCCUUCAAGAAUGAACAUUGCUAAAACAAUAAAUCGGCCUGAAACAACUUUGAGUUUAGAACUUGAAAGUAACAUAUAAGUUCAAAGUACUUCUUUUCUUUUGUCAAAGCAGCAAUUAGAUUUCCAGAAAAGAGAAAAUGAAGAAUGAUUAUAAUAUUUUAGAUGUCAUAACCAAGCCUGACAUAAAAAUAAAUAAAUAAAUAAAUAAAUAAA